Molecule: small nuclear RNA, 211 nt
Filed under: Erpetoichthys calabaricus (reedfish)
Lineage: Eukaryota; Metazoa; Chordata; Cladistia; Polypteriformes; Polypteridae
Description: U2 spliceosomal RNA (ENSECRG00000010582.1)
Rfam family: U2 spliceosomal RNA
About the family: U2 is a small nuclear RNA (snRNA) component of the spliceosome (involved in pre-mRNA splicing). Complementary binding between U2 snRNA (in an area lying towards the 5' end but 3' to hairpin I) and the branchpoint sequence (BPS) of the intron results the bulging out of an unpaired adenosine, on the BPS, which initiates a nucleophilic attack at the intronic 5' splice site, thus starting the first of two transesterification reactions that mediate splicing.
Source: RNAcentral
AUACUUUGAACAACUCUGUUAGGGGGGAGGGUGGUUUUGGGUCAACAGGAGUAUAAUUCUGUUCUUAUCAGUUUAAUAGCUGAUAGGUCCGCUAUGUGGGGACCAAGUAUUAUAUCGAUUUUUGGAACAGAGAGAUGGAAAAUGGGGCUUGCUUCAUCCACUCCACACAUCAACCUGGUAUUGCAGUAUCUCCAGGAAUGGUGAGGAACCU